This 449-nucleotide ribosomal RNA is filed under the name uncultured bacterium. RNAcentral's name for it is "partial 16S ribosomal RNA". It matches the Rfam family "Bacterial small subunit ribosomal RNA", at positions 29 to 523 of the family's 1533-position model. The record is from RNAcentral.
AACGAACGCUGGCGGCAUGCCUAACACAUGCAAGUCGAACGAGAUCUUCGGGUCUAGUGGCGCACGGGUGCGUAACGCGUGGGAAUCUGCCCUUUGGUUCGGAAUAACAGUUGGAAACGACUGCUAAUACCGGAUGAUGACGAAAGUCCAAAGAUUUAUCGCCAGAGGAUGAGCCCGCGUAGGAUUAGCUAGUUGGUGUGGUAAAGGCGCACCAAGGCGACGAUCCUUAGCUGGUCUGAGAGGAUGAUCAGCCACACUGGGACUGAGACACGGCCCAGACUCCGACGGGGGGCAGCAGUGGGGAAUAUUGGACAAUGGGCGAAAGCCUGAUCCAGCAAUGCCGCGUGAGUGAUGAAGGCCUUAGGGUUGUAAAGCUCGUUUACCCGGGAUGAUAAUGACAGUACCGGGAGAAUAAGCUCCGGCUAACUCCGUGCCAGCCGCCGCCGUAA